Molecule: non-coding RNA, 82 nt
Organism: Agrilus planipennis (emerald ash borer)
Lineage: Eukaryota; Metazoa; Arthropoda; Insecta; Coleoptera; Buprestidae
Source: Rfam
GCUGCGAUGUCCGAGUGGUUAAGGAGUUUGACUCGAAAUCAAAUGGGCUCUGCCCGCACAGGUUCGAAUCCUGUUCGCAGCG